GGUGAGCGUGUGGUAAACGGUCUGCAAAACCGCGUACACGGGUUCGAUUCCCGUCGUCGCCUCCA
This 65-nucleotide transfer RNA is filed under the name Chloroflexota bacterium. RNAcentral describes it as "tRNA-OTHER". It matches the Rfam family "tRNA". From Rfam's summary of the family: Transfer RNA (tRNA) molecules are approximately 80 nucleotides in length. Their secondary structure includes four short double-helical elements and three loops (D, anti-codon, and T loops). Further hydrogen bonds mediate the characteristic L-shaped molecular structure. tRNAs have two regions of fundamental functional importance: the anti-codon, which is responsible for specific mRNA codon recognition, and the 3' end, to which the tRNAs corresponding amino acid is attached (by aminoacyl-tRNA synthetases). tRNAs cope with the degeneracy of the genetic code in two manners: having more than one tRNA (with a specific anti-codon) for a particular amino acid; and 'wobble' base-pairing, i.e. permitting non-standard base-pairing at the 3rd anti-codon position. Lineage: Bacteria; Bacillati; Chloroflexota. The record is from RNAcentral.